Non-coding RNA from Paramuricea clavata, 453 nucleotides. NCBI's taxonomy places the organism in Eukaryota, Metazoa, Cnidaria, Anthozoa, Malacalcyonacea, Plexauridae. The record is from the annotation of a GenBank genome assembly.
AUUUUUUCCCUUCUUUUAUUUCAAAUACAAGUAUAAUUAGCAUACUGAAAUUUUAGAGCAAAUUUAGAUGCUCAUAAAGCAGGAAAUGGCAUUUGAAAGGUUCAAAUUUAAAACAUUUUCUGGGGGAGUAUGUCGGCCACACACGUGGCCGUCGGCCAUUGCUAUCCCCCUCUAAUAUAUUAUCUGACAGAAAGAUCCCUUUUCAAAAAAUUCCCCCCACGGGAAAAUCCUUAAAAAAGGCCCUGUUGUCCUGUAUUUCGGUCUCGGAACUGUCGUAUGUCGUCACGGUAUAAGUUAACUGUGUAGUUUGUAUAUUUGCCUAGCCACAUGUUGUGAUUGAGGCUAGGUGAGGAUUGUAAGUUUAUCACCUAGUACCGUAUUUAAGUAUAGAGGAAGUUAGGUUAUGUGCAUGCUCACAGGGUUUUGAAAGCAAACCAUGCCGUGAAAUAUGUG